Rhagoletis zephyria (snowberry fruit fly) is the source of this 1098-nucleotide long non-coding RNA. RefSeq lists it as uncharacterized. Lineage: Eukaryota; Metazoa; Arthropoda; Insecta; Diptera; Tephritidae. The record is from RefSeq and is a predicted model, not a curated record.
AUGGUUUUUGGCAUGCUUUCCACUAGUUUUUCUAUGGUCUGGUUCGGUAUUUUUGCCCAUUCUUCCUGAACUCUUACCCAAAGUUCGUCCAUAUUUUUGGGGGCCCUCUCAUAUACCGCCAACCUUUUUUUUUAAAUUGCCCAUAAAUUUUCGAUUGGGUUGAGAUCGGGGCUUUGAGCAGGCCACUUCAGGACUUUAAAACGUUGGUCAGAUAACCAAUUUUGCACGAUUUUCGCUGUGUGUUUGGGGUCCCCGUCUUGUUGGAAUAGGACCUUAUCUUCAGGAUAUGCGCUCAUCUCGACGAAAUCAGGCUAAUUUGUUCUUAAAAUAUGAAGAUAAUCUUCCUUUUUCAUUAUGCCAUUGAUUUUUGUUAAUGGGCCAACAUGCCACCAAGUAAAACAGCCCCAUACCAUUAAACUGCCUCCGCCAUGCUUCACAGUUUGCUUUACCUGAUGCUUUUGAAGCGUUUCUUGUGGACGGUGCCAGUAGUAUUGUUUUCCAUCUGACUGGAAGCGAUUUAUUUUUGUUUCGUCUGACCAUAUCACUCGUUUCCAGUCAUCGACGCUCCAAUUUUUGCAAUCGUUACAAAAUUUCAACCUUGCUUUUAAAUUUUUGUCAGACAAAGCCCGUUUUUUUGUCUUGACUGAUGAGAUCAAACCAAUUCGUUGAAGAGCUCUACGAGCCGUCCACUCACUUACUACUUUGUUUAUUUCAUCCGCAGCUAAUUUUGGUGUUAUGGUGUUAUUACGCCUCAAUAACCGUUCCAUACAGCGAGCAUCUCCGUCAGAGAGUAACCUACGACGCCCUCUAACACUCGAUUUACGUACGCUUUGAUCGAACUUUUUCAACUGACUAUUGCUAAACAUGACAUAACCAAGCGAUGCACAGAUGAAGCGAUUCAAUUAUUUCAGAUAAAGGUAAAUUCAAGGCAUACCAAGCCACAAAAGCGUGACGUGCAAAAUUGGAUGAAUGCAGUUACUUUUGAUUUCUCGCCUUAGCAAGUUUCACAAUUAAGUUUGAAUGAAGUUUGUUUAUGUUUUUUGUUAAAAGAAUAAAUGUUCUAUAAAACCAAAAAAGUUAGAUUGAAAUUGCGUUAAU